CCUCCCACUCCACACACACCCUGUUUGCCCGUGAGCCUGGGGAACUUGCAGCUUAAAGCCAGCCACCCCCACGGCAACAUGUACCCCAGCAACAAGAAGAAAAAGGUGUGGAGAGAGGAGAAAGAACGUUUACUGAAGAUGACCUUAGAGGAGAGACGCAAAGAAUACAUAAGGGACUAUGUUCCCCUGAACACCAUCCUAUCGUGGAAGGAAGAGAUGAUGAAAGGCAAGAGCCAAAAUGAUGGAAGCAUCUCUAAUGGUUGAAGAAGUGGUGGAGGAUGACAUGGGACAGAGUGCCUGAGGAUCCUUGCCUGGGACAAAUUAUGGGAAGAAAAGUCUUACAGCUUGGGCACUAAGAAAAGAGCUCUUUUAUGCCAUCUUGCCUGCCAGUCUAUUUGGAAUCAAGAAAGACUCAUUGAAGACUCCUUUGAAAAGAAUGUUUUGAAGAAGAAAAAAGAAACACUGUGAGAGAAGGCACACAGACCAGAAGGGUCAUAGAAGCGUAAAUUUUUGUUGUAUAACACCAACAGGACUUCAUUGAGUGAACGUGGGGAAUUGAGAAGGGAGAAAGUUAAGAAAUGACUGAAUUCUGUGGGAAUGGAUGCAAAACUGCUGGCCAUUUACUAACGUGGAAGAACAGUUGUUGCUUUAGUCCGAGGAAUUUGUUUCUGUUGUGUGCAGUUCUCAUAAACUCUUCUCACAUUCAAAUCACCCCUUUGUCCUCUGAGAAUGAUGGCACUUUUGCUUCUGUUAGCAGGGGUUCCAAGGAUGAGUGAACGUGUAUAGUGUUUGCCAAAACCCAAAAAGUACAGUUUGUUUGUUUAUCAUUAGAGGUUUGCAGGAUACCCUGCUUGUAUUUUAAAAUUCUGUUGUGUUUAACACCAACCAUUUAUGGUUUUUUUUAAUCAAUAAAUAUUAGAUUUUCAAGAUGAAAUUCGACUAUUCUUAAUCAUAUUGUAGCCAGUUUUUUCCAAUUUGAUAUCCAGAGAC
Molecule: RNA transcript, 990 nt
Organism: Suricata suricatta (meerkat)
Lineage: Eukaryota; Metazoa; Chordata; Mammalia; Carnivora; Herpestidae
Gene name: ADP-ribose glycohydrolase MACROD2-like
Exons: 4
Source: RefSeq, a predicted model, not a curated record